AGAACGAACGCUGGCGGCAGGCUUAACACAUGCAAGUCGAACGCUCGUAACAAUACGGGAGUGGCAGACGGGUGAGUAACGCGUGGGAACAUACCCUCCGGUUCGGAAUAGCUCAGGGAAACUUGGAUUAAUACCGGAUACGGCUGAGAGGCGAAAGAUUUAUCGCCGGAGGACUGGCCCGCGUUCGAUUAGCUUGUUGGUGAGGUAACGGCUCACCAAGGCGAUGAUCGAUAGCUGGUCUGAGAGGAUGAUCAGCCACAUUGGGACUGAGACACGGCCCAAACUCCUACGGGAGGCAGCAGUGGGAAUAUUGGACAAUGGGCGCAAGCCUGAUCCAGCCAUGCCGCGUGAGUGAUGACGGCCUUAGGGUUGUAAAGCUCUUUCGCUCGGGACGAUAAUGACGGUACCGAGAUAAGAAGCCCCGGCUAACUUCGUGCCAGCAGCCGC
This 447-nucleotide ribosomal RNA is filed under the name uncultured bacterium. RNAcentral's name for it is "SSU rRNA". It matches the Rfam family "Bacterial small subunit ribosomal RNA", at positions 26 to 518 of the family's 1533-position model. The record is from RNAcentral.